RNAcentral lists this ribosomal RNA (599 nucleotides) under uncultured bacterium. RNAcentral's name for it is "bacterial SSU rRNA". It matches the Rfam family "Bacterial small subunit ribosomal RNA", at positions 34 to 679 of the family's 1533-position model. The record is from RNAcentral.
CGCUGGCGGCAGGCUUAACACAUGCAAGUCGAGCGGGCCCUUCGGGGUCAGCGGCGGACGGGUGAGUAACGCGUGGGAACGUGCCCUCUGGUCUGGAAUAACCCUGGGAAACUAGGGCUAAUACCGGAUACGCCCUUUUGGGGAAAGGCUUGCUGCCGGAGGAUCGGCCCGCGUCUGAUUAGCUAGUUGGUGGGGUAACGGCCUACCAAGGCGACGAUCAGUAGCUGGUCUGAGAGGAUGAUCAGCCACACUGGGACUGAGACACGGCCCAGACUCCUACGGGAGGCAGCAGUGGGGAAUAUUGGACAAUGGGCGCAAGCCUGAUCCAGCCAUGCCGCGUGAGUGAUGAAGGCCUUAGGGUUGUAAAGCUCUUUUAUCCGGGACGAUAAUGACGGUACCGGAGGAAUAAGCCCCGGCUAACUUCGUGCCAGCAGCCGCGGUAAUACGAAGGGGGCUAGCGUUGCUCGGAAUCACUGGGCGUAAAGGGCGCGUAGGCGGCGUUUUAAGUCGGGGGUGAAAGCCUGUGGCUCAACCACAGAAUGGCCUUCGAUACUGGGACGCUUGAGUAUGGUAGAGGUCGGUGGAACUGCGAGUGUAGA